RNAcentral lists this ribosomal RNA (252 nucleotides) under uncultured bacterium. RNAcentral describes it as "partial 16S ribosomal RNA". It matches the Rfam family "Bacterial small subunit ribosomal RNA", at positions 524 to 776 of the family's 1533-position model. The record is from RNAcentral.
UACGAAGGGGCUAGCGUUGCUCGGAAUCACUGGGCGUAAAGCGCACGUAGGCGGAUUGUUAAGUCAGGUGUGAAAGCCUUGAGCUCAACUCAAGAAAUGCACUUGAUACUGGAUGACUAGAGGACCGGAGAGGAUAGUGGAAUUCCCAGUGUAGUGGUGAAAUACGUAGAGAUUGGGAAGAACACCAGUGGCGAAGGCGGCUAUCUGGACGGUUUCUGACGCUAAGACGCGAAAGCGUGGGGAGCAAACAGG